AGUAGUGAAGUAAAAAAAUUACACUUAGUUUCGACCUAAGAAUAGAGAUUAUUCUCCUUACUU
Molecule: transfer RNA, 63 nt
Filed under: Sirthenea flavipes
Lineage: Eukaryota; Metazoa; Arthropoda; Insecta; Hemiptera; Reduviidae
Description: tRNA-Arg
Source: RNAcentral